Molecule: ribosomal RNA, 508 nt
Filed under: Miopontonia yongei
Lineage: Eukaryota; Metazoa; Arthropoda; Malacostraca; Decapoda; Palaemonidae
Description: partial 16S ribosomal RNA
Rfam family: Bacterial large subunit ribosomal RNA
Source: RNAcentral
AAAACAUGUCUGUACGUUUAUAUGUAAAGUCUGGCCUGCCCACUGAUAUUUAAAGGGCCGCGGUAAUUUGACCGUGCGAAGGUAGCAUAAUAAUUAGUCUCUUAAUUGGAGGCUGGAAUGAAUGGUCUGAUGAGGGGUGUACUGUCUUCUUUUUUGGCUGAAUUUAUCUUUUAAGUGAAAAGACUUAAAUUAAUUAAAGGGACGAUAAGACCCUAUAAAACUUUAUACACUAAUUCUAUCAUAGGUGAAUUAUUUGUAAAGCAGUUUUGGAAGCGGUGUAUUGCGUUGGGGAGAUGAUAAUAAAAACCUAACUGUUAAUAAAAUUAAAUAAUUAUAAUUAGUUCUUGAUCCUUUAUUAGAGAUUAUAAGAUCAAGUUACUUUAGGGAUAACAGCGUAAUUUUCUUUGAGAGUUCUUAUCGACAGGAUUAGUUGCGACCUCGAUGUUGAAUUAAAAUUUUUAAUAGGUGUAGCCGUUUAUUAAAUAGGUCUGUUCGACCUUAAAAUUUA